AAAAAUUGCAGGAGAGGUUAUCUCAGCCGGAGAACUCAAACGGAAGGGUAUCGGAGCCUUACAAAUUGAGUGAUGUGACUGUGAGGCGUGAAUCUAAUCGUGUUGUAGAUCUGUUGGAGCCGAUCAAGAGUCCUACUCCUGCGUUGAGGGUGUCAGUGUAUAAGUAGUGAAAGUGUUUGCAGUUUUAGGAUUUUUUAUGCAGUUUGAAGAUGACAAUUUGGAGUUUGCAAAGACUGUGAAGCAGUGGAAUGUAAAGAUUAUCUCAGUGAGGACUGUUUUUCUUGAUCUGGUUGGUUGUUUUGAUCUUAGUUAUGUUGAAUGGGAUAUGAGUAUAUCAAUGUCUGUGACCAUUUAUUAUUAAGAUUUGAUGUGAA
Molecule: long non-coding RNA, 374 nt
Organism: Quercus robur (English oak)
Lineage: Eukaryota; Viridiplantae; Streptophyta; Magnoliopsida; Fagales; Fagaceae
Exons: 2
Source: RefSeq, a predicted model, not a curated record